UGACUCAAAAAGUUCUUUGUUUGGUCCGUA
Molecule: non-coding RNA, 30 nt
Filed under: Rattus norvegicus (Norway rat)
Lineage: Eukaryota; Metazoa; Chordata; Mammalia; Rodentia; Muridae
Source: RNAcentral